UGGGGAAUAUUGGACAAUGGGCGAAAGCCUGAUCCAGCCAUGCCGCAUGAGUGAAGAAGGCCUUUGGGUUGUAAAGCUCUUUUAGUGAGGAAGAUAAUGACGGUACUCACAGAAGAAGUCCUGGCUAACUCCGUGCCAGCAGCCGCGGUAAUACGGAGAGGGCUAGCGUUAUUCGGCAUUAUUGGGCGUAAAGGGCGCGUAGGCUGGUUAAUAAGUUAAAAGUGAAAUCCCGAGGCUUAACCUUGGAAUUGCUUUUAAAACUAUUAAUCUAGAGAUUGAAAGAGGAUAGAGGAAUUCCUGAUGUAGAGGUAAAAUUCGUAAAUAUUAGGAGGAACACCAGUGGCGAAGGCGUCUAUCUGGUUCAAAUCUGACGCUGAAGCGCGAAGGCGUGGGGAGCAAACA
RNAcentral lists this ribosomal RNA (402 nucleotides) under uncultured bacterium. Its description in RNAcentral is "partial 16S ribosomal RNA". It matches the Rfam family "Bacterial small subunit ribosomal RNA", at positions 355 to 774 of the family's 1533-position model. The record is from RNAcentral.